AGAUUGAACGCUGGCGGCGUGCUUAACACAUGCAAGUCGAGCGGUAACAGGCGUAGCAAUACGUGCUGACGAGCGGCGAACGGGUGCGUAAUACAUGGGAAUCUGCCCUUUGGUGGGGAAUAACCCGGCGAAAGCCGGGCUAAUGCCGCAUAAGAUCUUCGGAUGAAAGCGGGGGAUCGUAAGACCUCGCGCCGAUGGAUGAGCCCAUGUCGGAUUAGCUAGUUGGUGAGGUAACGGCUCACCAAGGCGACGAUCCGUAGCUGGUCUGAGAGGACGGCCAGCCACACUGGGACUGAGACACGGCCCAGACCUCCGACGGGAGCAGCAGGUGGGAAUACGUUGGAACAAGUCGGGGAAACCUGACUCCAGCGACGCCGCGUGUGUAGAAGAAGGCCGUGCGGUUAGUAAGCUAACGUUUCGAAGUAGGAAACGAAAUAGUCGCCGGUACUAACGUACCCCGGUAGG
This 465-nucleotide ribosomal RNA is filed under the name uncultured soil bacterium. RNAcentral describes it as "bacterial SSU rRNA". It matches the Rfam family "Bacterial small subunit ribosomal RNA", at positions 26 to 491 of the family's 1533-position model. The record is from RNAcentral.